UACGUAGGGGGCAAGCGUUAUCCGGAUUUACUGGGUGUAAAGGGAGCGUAGACGGCUGUGCAAGCCAGAUGUGAAAGCCCGGGGCUCAACCCCGGGACUGCAUUUGGAACUGCGUGGCUUGAGUGUCGGAGAGGCAGGCGGAAUUCCUAGUGUAGCGGUGAAAUGCGUAGAUAUUAGGAGGAACACCAGUGGCGAAGGCGGCCUGCUGGACGACAACUGACGGUGAGGCGCGAAAGCGUGGGGAGCAAACAGG
Molecule: ribosomal RNA, 253 nt
Filed under: uncultured bacterium
Lineage: Bacteria
Description: partial 16S ribosomal RNA
Rfam family: Bacterial small subunit ribosomal RNA
Source: RNAcentral